Molecule: ribosomal RNA, 465 nt
Filed under: uncultured bacterium
Lineage: Bacteria
Description: partial 16S ribosomal RNA
Rfam family: Bacterial small subunit ribosomal RNA
Source: RNAcentral
CUACGGGACGCUGCAGUGAGGAAUUUUGCGCAAUGGGGGUAACCCUGACGCAGCAACGCCGCGUGAGUGAUGAAGGCUUUCGGGUCGUAAAGCUCUGUCAAGUGGGAAGAAUAUACGAAAUGCUAAUACCAUUUUGUACUGACGGUACCACUGAAGGAAGCACCGGCUAACUCCGUGCCAGCAGCCGCGGUAAUACGGGGGGUGCAAGCGUUAUUCGGAAUUAUUGGGCGUAAAGAGCACGUAGGCGGCCGCUUAAGUCAGAUGUGAAAGCCCGGGGCUCAACCCCGGAAGUGCAUUUGAAACUAAGUGGCUUGAGUAUGGGAGAGGGAAGUGGAAUUCCUGGUGCAGAGGUGACAUUCGUAGAUAUCAGGAGGAACACCGGUGGCGAAGGCGACUUCCUGGACCAAUACUGACGCUGAGGUGCGAAGGCGUGGGGAGCAAACAGGAUUAGAUACCCGCGUAGUC